AAUAAGUGUUUUAUGGCACUUCUUAAAUCCAUAUCCACCUUGUGUGCAAUGUCAAUUCUCUGUUGCAGAAUGUUUGUUCUUCGGAAUGUAUGUUCUACAGAGGAUUUAUAUAUACCCUUAUAUCUUUAACUAGUUUGUCUGAAUACUUUGUAUGAAUACUUAAUUCAAAAUACAACUUUCAACAACGGAUCUCUUGGCUCU
This 201-nucleotide unclassified non-coding RNA is filed under the name rhizosphere metagenome. Its description in RNAcentral is "partial ribosomal RNA internal transcribed spacer region". The record is from RNAcentral.